ACCCGCUGAACUUAAGCAUAUCAAUAAGCGGAGGAAAAGAAACCAACAGGGAUUGCCUCAGUAACGGCGAGUGAAGCGGCGACAGCUCAAAUUUGAAAUCUGGCCUUACGGUCCGAGUUGUAAUUUGUAGAGGAUGUUUUGGGUACCGCCGCGGGUUAAUUUUCUUGGAACAGAAAGCCAAAGAGGGUGAGAGUCCCGUCUUGGCCUGCGGUAGGGCUCGUGUAAAACUCCUUCGACGAGUCGACUAGUUUGGGAAUGCUGGUCAAAAUGGGUGGUAAAUGUCAUCUAAAGCUAAAUAUUGGCCAGAGACCGAUAGCGCACAAGUAGAGUGAUCGAAAGAUGAAAAGCACUUUGAAAAGAGAGUUAAACAGUAUGUGAAAUUGUUGAAAGGGAAGCGCAGGCAACCAGACUCGUGCGCGGGGUUCCCCCUUGCUUCUGCUUGGGUUAUUUCCCCGUGACCGGGCCAUCAUCAGUUUCGGGGGCCGGUUAAAGGCCCUGGGAAUGUACCCUCGCCUUCGGGAGAGGACUUAUAGCCCAGGGUGUCAUGCGGCCACUCGGGACUGAGGAACGCGCUUCGGCGAGGAUGAUGGCGUAAUGGUUGU
Molecule: ribosomal RNA, 602 nt
Filed under: uncultured fungus
Lineage: Eukaryota; Fungi
Description: eukaryotic LSU rRNA
Rfam family: Eukaryotic large subunit ribosomal RNA
Source: RNAcentral